AUUGUCCACAGGUUUAACCAGUCCAAAACACAAACGACAGCCGAAGAAGAAGGCAAAUACUUGGUAGAAGGAAGCUAUUGUUUCCUUCCAAGAACUUAGCUGCUUCACAAAGAAAUCUGGAUCUCGAAAUUACAUCUGCGACGGUGGUGUUUGUGUUCUACGAAGCUCCAACAAUCCGACACUUGAAAUGGGUUAAUAAUACAUCUCUACUAUCUCAGUUCUUGAAACUUGUUUGUAAUCUGUCUACUUUGUAUUUUAUUAUUUUUGUUUCCAAAAUGAAAAUCGAAUGAUAUCUUAAUUAUAAGGAUUUUGGUCA
Long non-coding RNA from Brassica oleracea var. oleracea, 316 nucleotides. RefSeq lists it as uncharacterized. The transcript has 2 exons. The record is from RefSeq and is a predicted model, not a curated record. Lineage: Eukaryota; Viridiplantae; Streptophyta; Magnoliopsida; Brassicales; Brassicaceae.